CAGUCGCCGCGGGAAUACAGAGGGUGCGAGCGUUAAUCGGAUUUACUGGGCGUAAAGCGUGCGUAGGCGGCUUCUUAAGUCGGAUGUGAAAUCCCUGAGCUUAACUUAGGAAUUGCAUUUGAUACUGGGAAGCUAGAGUAUGGGAGAGGAUGGUAGAAUUCCAGGUGUAGCGGUGAAAUGCGUAGAGAUCUGGAGGAAUACCGAUGGCGAAGGCAGCCAUCUGGCCUAAUACUGACGCUGAGGUACGAAAGCAUGGGGAGCAAACAGGAUUAGAUACCCGGGUAGUCCCUGUCUCUUAUAC
RNAcentral lists this ribosomal RNA (301 nucleotides) under uncultured bacterium. Its description in RNAcentral is "partial 16S ribosomal RNA". It matches the Rfam family "Bacterial small subunit ribosomal RNA", at positions 509 to 807 of the family's 1533-position model. The record is from RNAcentral.